AGCCAAGGUCCAAAGCCACCUCCAAGAGGGGCCAAUCACAGCUUCCGAAUUGCCUGGAACUGCCCAGUAAGGCAGUGUCUGUGGGAUCCACCUCUCAUCCUCUGAAGGUAUAAACUCUUAUCAAAGGAUUCACAAGUUUCUGACUGAGUUAAAAAGGUGGAGCUCUCCAAGUGUGAAAAAAAAACCCAACAAAAAAGUGCAGCCUGUACCUCGUCCAAGGAAGCCAUGUGUUGUGCAGCCUCUGUCUCACAAAAUGAACUCUUCAGAACUGUGGGUAAUGCAACUUUAGGGCAACACAGUUUUUGAAGGAGGAAUGCCCUUUAUUACAGAAAGACCGACACUGCUGAAGGACUAUGAGGAUAGCAGGAAAGAAUUAACACAAAAGCGAGAAGCAACAGCAGGACCAUAUGCUCAUGGCUUUAUGUCAGUCCAGAUGAGUGAGUGAACCUUUGUUAUUAGUUCUUUCUUUCCAUCUGCAUGGGGGUGGGGGGCUUAUCUUCUCAUAGCCAAGCAGAAGAAUCUGGAGUCAUUUAAAUAUUGCCUUUUGUAAGCAUUUGGAGUUUUAGCUCAAACAAGUUAAUAUUUUAAAGCAUGGUAACCAGAAAAUCAGUAGAUAAUAGCUUAAUCAAUGCUUGGAGUGUGAUUUUUAGAAUUAAAAAAAUGUAACUGUGAUUUAUAGUAAGAAUGUAGUCUCAGGCAAAAAUUUGUAAAUGUAACUAGAUUAAGAAUGUAUUCCCAGUUUA
RNAcentral lists this long non-coding RNA (743 nucleotides) under Monodelphis domestica (gray short-tailed opossum). RNAcentral's name for it is "lncRNA (ENSMODG00000040025.1)". The record is from RNAcentral. Lineage: Eukaryota; Metazoa; Chordata; Mammalia; Didelphimorphia; Didelphidae.